UAAGGUUAAGGCUCUUUUUAUACUAUGAACUGCAAAAACUGUUGUCAUGUCUCAAGUGUGAUGUAGCUACUUAAUUGCCAGAAACAUUUUGUUUUGAGACAUAUUAGGCCAAAUGAAACCCCUCCAUUGCAUGGCACGGGGCGGGGGGGAGAAAAGCACAGUAAAGAGGUGAAGUGAGUCUGGGAAUUCUACAUGCUGUAGUACUUUCCCUCCAAGCCAAAGAAUCUCCUGUACUUGGUUUGUCGUUACUUAUUUUCAUUUGCAUUGCAGCGGUGCCUAGGAGCUCCAGCAGGAUUGGGUCCCAUCCUGUUAAGGGCUGUACAAACAGACAGAUAGACACAGUCUGCCAGCAUCCAUGGGUUCUGCUCCCAGAUAGGGUCCACGCCACAACCUGUGUCCCUUUUGAGCUGCUACUAAAGGUCCUUCCCCCUCUGCAGCCCAGACACACACCAGCAGGACCUGGGAUUCCGAACUGUCAUGGAGCAAUCAAAGAGGAAGUGCUUCCAUGAUGAACUUAUGGUGGACAUCCAGGACAAGGCCAACAAACCAGUACAAUACCAAAGGGAAAAGGGUUCAUGGCAAGUGGAAAGGCACAGACAGGCUACAGAGCACUGGGAGUGAAUUACAGGAAAACCCUGGCAUCAUGAACUUGUCCAGUGCAGCCCACUUUGGCGUCCAUAAAUCAGGCUCUGUGAUUCACAAGGGCCUGUAUAAUAAUGGAGUAGUACCUUUUGUGGUUCAUGUGCUCCUUGAGCGGGGCAAACUAUGUACACGUGAUUGCCAUCAGUGGCCCCAGUGAAGUUUGGAAACCCCAUUCUCUCAAAACCAGCUAUUCUGAACACCAAAAAAUACAGCAUAGAUUUCAAGAUGACACUUCUCGGUAACAAUAAACAAUACGCUCUGAAAAGCAGCCAACUGUAGUGAAAAAAACCUUGUCCAGUUCAAUAUUAAUGAUUAAAUCUAGAAAUAAAAAAAACAAAAAGAACUUCUUUAGCAUGCAACCUAAUAAAAUAAAUUAUCAAAUUUUACUAUCGAUUUGCAGUAGACAAAACAUGAUUCACUUAAUGUUUGUAACAUGCUGGGGAGGAGAACUGCUAAGUAUUUUAUUAUUAAACAUGGUAAACUCACUAACAUACAUUGUGGCACCAUUGAACUUACAGAUAGUUUUAGGUUAGGGAUCAUUUACUGGUCAUGCCAGUAAACAAAUAUUGCUCAAGUCAUUUAGGAAAUGUUGUUCCCUGUGACUAACAUCCACCAGCAAAUUACACAGGCCUGCUAUUUAUUACCACUUAGGUGAUAUUAUGUUCUGCACAGUUUAGCCUGUCUCCACACUAAUCCUUAAGGUGUGUUUGUUUUUUAAACAUCUAUUUUGAGUUUAAUUCAAGUUGGCUGUAGUGCUACACAGCUGACAGCAUGGCAGCGGGGGGCGGCUGAUCGUUACCAAACUUGUGCCCGUAACAUAGUGUACUGUACGACUGCGACUCACAUAUGCCAGCUUGAACUGACUAAAAAAAUGUAUUGUCACGUCAGUUUCUUUAUUGUCAAAACGUGGAAUGGAGGGCCCAUAAUGAACCUUCUUUCUGACUUGUGUGUGUCAACAAAAUCUUCAAACAAAGGAAGGAAAAUCUGUUGUGGACAAGUAAAUGCUAUGUAUAGUUGCUAAAUAUUGGUGGAAAGUGGUCUUCCCUCUUCUGCCCCUGCACCCAUCUACAGUUUAUUUUCACUAUCAUGCAAUAGUGCAAAUAAACUUUUAUUUUUUUAAACAGAAUAAUCUCUAAAGGUGAAGCCUGGGGAAGCUUGGCUCUGGAUCCAAACUUGGCAGCUCAAACCACAUCUACUCUUUUUGUUUGUUUUUAAGAAUUUGCUUCUAAUGGAGCUCUUGAAGUGAGGGUCAAAGUUCAGAGAGCUAGGCUGGAGGACUUUAUUAGUAUUCUCAAGACCCUGUCUUGAAGUUUAAAUGUUAAAUGGGAAGUGUGACAUUUCCAGAACUCUUUGUGGGUUCAGUUGUACUUGAAUCUGAAUCAGAAUUCCUCUGUGUUCAUCUUGCCUAUCAGAAUUAAAAGGCCACAGUAUGCAUGCUGUACGCUUUGUAUACACCCUUCAUUUGUAAACUGAAUGAAGUACACAUUCUGCAGCCAUUCUGCUGUGUAUUUGCGUUUCUGCAAGCAACAGUCUGAAUUAUCAGAUUUUAAGUCCUAGAAUACUGAAUUGUAAUGAAAUGGCCGGCAACCAGUUGUGAAUUUUAAGCAAGCUGUGUAAAAUAAUCAGCUGCAUCUUAAGGAAAGAAGCCCAAAAUCAGAUAUUUUUAAGUUCUGUUAAGAUUUCUUAUCUAGCCCUGUUAGGGAGUACACUCUAGAUUCAAAAUAAAAAUCAAAUUCUAGGUUGGUAAUUCAAGGUCAAGUAAAACUUAAUGCUAGGGUUUAUUUCAAGAAUACCACCAAUUAGCUACAAUCACCUUAUCAAAAUGUUGUGAUUAAUGGAAUAGAAGCUGCACUCUGGGCAAGGAAGAUCAGUGCUGACAAUUUCCGAGGGUGUGGGUUUAAUAAGAUAUCAUUUGUCACACUCAGCAAUGCUAUUCCAGAAUUAUGCCGAGAUCAAAACCCUGAUUGGAAUCUAUCAAACCAAUAACUGCCGUUAGCCAAGUGACUGAGCAGUUGUGACAACAAAGCUUGCUGUGGGUACUGUACUAUGAAAUGAAUAUGUGAAGCUGCUGCCAGUGUGUGACAAGCCCUGGGACAAGAGAGUAGCAGCAUGGUAAGUGCAAACAACAAUAGCACAGGAAUAAUAUAAAAAGUUUAGGAGGUGAAAUUAACAGGCCAUUGAUAGAUAUUUAUUUCUGAAUAAGAGACAUUCAAGUAACAUUUAGGUCUACUGCUUGUGAUUUAAACUCUCAAAACAUAUGCAGGGUAGUUUAGAUAUCUGCUCAUCUAAUCUCAUUAUAGAAGCUCAGUCCAGCUCCCAUUGAAUUCAAAGGAGCCUUGUCCUCACUGAGAUAUUCACAAUUCUCCCAUUGUUGGUCUAGCAUAGACCUAACAGAAGCACUGCGUUCUUUAUUAUUACUAUUUGCUUGCUGAUAAUGCUGAAGGGCUGCAGCCAGGAAUCAGUGUGUUAGACACUGUACAAACACAUGUUAAAUAGAAACUCCCUGCCCACAAGAGUUGACAUGGUGGUAGGUAAAAACACUUAUUCUGAGUCUACACUAGUGAUUCUAUCAUUGCUUGCCUCCAUGGAGCUACACUGGUGUUAAACAGUUAAUGCUGGUGGACAACAGCAUCGAUUCUCAGUGGGGAAGCAGCCUGGUGUUUCUGUGUCAGUGGAAGUAGGUUCUAACCUAUGGUCACCUAAAAAGAACUGUAUCCUUCCUAGCUUCAAGCCUUGUUCUCCUUAUUCAGGCAAGUUGUCCCAUUGAAGUCUUCAGUGUUAUUGAAAUCUUGUAAUGUUGUUCAUCUCGUUGUCUCCUUCGUCUUUCCUACAUGCUUUUAACCUUUUAUCUUCAUUCUGUGGCAUUUUUUGGCUCUUCUGUACCUUUAUUAUCAUCUAAAUAUAGUAGCACUUCAGACUGUCUCUCUCACUACUGUAACUUUGGCUCUCAUUAACUGAUUCUGCAUGCAGUUAUACCUAGCUUGCAUUCUAAUCAACUUUGGCAGAUUAUGCUUUUAAGUAGUUCUUUAAUAUUUCUCCACUCUCAUUUGCAGUGAUGGUGAUGCAUUGUAAGAACCCUUCACAUGUGUCAUUGUGGUUGCAUCUUGAAAGAAAAAAAGUCUUCCAAAUGGUUUGGGUGUGAAAAAUCUACCCAAUUUAUCAUAAAUCAUGUUUUUAUUUGUAAAAACCUCCUUAUAGAAACACGUGGUUCAUUAAACUUUCACUGGUAGCUAUAUUCCCUGUCAGUUCUUUACUGUUUGGAUUUAACAAUAAUUAGAAUGAUCACUGCUGCAGACAUUACCACUGUGAAAAGCACAUAUCCUGAGGAUAUCAAUUAUGCCUAAAAUUAUGGCUCAUUUUUGUUUAAGACAUUAUUGAGAUGUGUUUUCACAUCACAACAGACAUAUGGUACUGCAUUAAAUACACUGGCAAAUAGUUCUGAGCAGUGGGGGAAUGUAUUCAUGGUAAUAAGGCCAAUAUUAAUUCACAUAUAGAAUUCUGAAUCUUUAAUUUUUACCCAUACUAGUGUAUUUGAGCACAGUAUAUAUGUUUGAGUUCAGGGCUUGUGAGGUCAGCAGGGUUUCUUUUUUGAAGUUACCUAAAAUAGUUUUUCAUGAGGAGGACAAAGAAGGUGAAAUCCCAGCCCCAUUGAUAUCAAUGGCCAAAAUAACUUUGUCCCUGGCUUGGUGGAGAUGUCUUGGAUCAAGUGCUUAAUGUUACAGGGAUCAGCCCUGCAAAGUGCUGGACAUUCUGACCCUGAUCCAGCAAAGCAUUUCAGUAUGUUUUUAACUUUAAGCAUGUGCUAAUUACCUUGAUGGUUCUGGACCAGAGUGCUCAGCACCUUGAAGGAUCAAGUUCUUAAGCCAGAACCUUUUGGAAUAGUGAGGAAAAAAUUACAGCUGGGACUGGCACUAGGCAGGAAUAAUUUUUGCAGUGUUGUAUUUGUUGUGAGGUGGCUACAGUUUGAGUAUGCACAAGCCUAAACUGUGCUAUGUUUUUGCUGUUUACGAACCAUCUCUGUUCAGAGCCAUAUUCUGUAUGGUUAUUGGGCCAAAUCCUGGAGAUCUUACUCAUUCUAUUUAGGCAGAGUUCUCAUGAACUUUAGGGAAUGUCUAUACUGCAGUUGGGAGGUGUGAUUGCAGCACAUGUAGACAUACCCAAGUUAGUUUUGGCCUAGCUAAAUUCUAGUCCCCCAGCCUGUCCAGGACCAUGGAUACAUACUUGAGCAGCUGCAGCCUGUGGUACCUUGACUUCACUGCUACUGUUACUUGAGAGAGCUUUUCUCUAGCUAGAUCUCAGCUUAAUAAGGCAUGUCUGUAUGUGCUGCAAUCAUACCUCCUGAGUAAGAACUGCAGGAUUUGGCCCACUGUACAUUAAUCAGAUGAGGAUAAUUUAUUGUACCUGUGUCCACGCUUGUAAAAAAGGAAAUAACCUUACUCCUAGGGUGAAAUCUUGGCCCCACUGAAACCAAUGGUGAAACUCCCAUUGACUUCAAGAGGGCAGGAUUUCACUUCUAGAGUCCAAAGCUUCCUGACUGCUCAGAAGUUGUGACCAUUUUGAGUCACUGCCUUUUGCAUAGUUUCUUGGGACACAGGUUGAGGGACAUACAGAAGUGUGAGGACCAGAGCUUCCUACUGAAUCAUUCUGGCUGUUGAAAAAGAAUAAAUAAUGGGGAGAGGAAGUCAACUCUUCAAGCUAAUGCUAAUCUCUGUGUGCAUCUAGUAUUCAAAUAAAAAGAGUUAUAACUGCAGGGUAGUCCAGGUUCUAAGAAGGAAAACUAACAUAUCAUGUUUGGCUGUUCCUUAGGAGCCCAGGAACCAAAUAACUUAAUAUGUGUUUAAAGUACUUUCCUAAUAUGAUUUCCCCAUUUUUCUAACCAUAAAGUGCAACUUCAAUAUAGUAGGAAUGUUUUUGGGCCCAUUUAGAAAUGUAUUCAUUGAAAAAAAGAGUUCCUUUAAAGAGAGAAUUUACUGGAAACAAACAACAUAUCUUUAAAAAUCAAAGUUAUUUAAAUCAAAUGAAGAGUUGCUUUCAGCAGCUUGUCCUUAUCCCCAGGUUUUAAUGAAAGCAACCCACAUCAGUUUAAUGUUCUUUCCAGUUACAAAAUCUCAGCCCUGGCAGUCUUUUCCUCUACUUUACCACGAACUGCCAGAAACGAAAGAUAUUUCCCAUUUGCUGUCUGAAAACUGAAAACGAGAAAUCGUGUGUCACUUAGCUCUCAUGUCUGAAGCAUAGGCACAGUAGAGCAAAAUAUUUUAAUGCCGCCUUCAUUUCAGACCUACGUAUUCAGUACUGCCAAUGCCAAAGGCCCACCAAAACCACAAAAUUAAAAAACCCCCAAACUCAUAAUUUUUAAGCCAAUCUUGUUUCUUUUUAAUUUGCCUUCUCAUUUGUGAGUCUUUAAGGUACAUUUGGGUAACAUUUUCAAGCUUUUCUCUGCAACCAUCAGAAAUAGAAAGUUGAUUUUUUUUAAUUGCUCAAAACUGAGUUUCUCAUCUAGUUUAGGUGCUGGAACUUUAAGGAAAAUGCCAAAUAUUGCAAGGAUCCCAAUAAAAUUGUAAGAAUGGACAAUAGUAUUAACUUCCAUUCAAAAAACCCAAUUGUGUUAAAAUCACUUUGCGACCACAUUGCAAAGUCAAGCUCUCAAAAGUUAGGACAAACGAAAUUAUAAUGCAACCUUAAUAAAAGUGUUGCUACUACUCCACCUGUAACGAUUGCAAUAAUCAGAUUUAAUUGACUACAGAGAUAGGGCAAUCUACACAGAAUACUAAUCAGAAUAGUCCUGCUAAUACUUUGUCAUUAAGAAUAACCUUAGUACUUAAUAAGAAAAGAGAGCUGUGUUAGUUGUGUUCAUCAACAUCGCUCCAGUUCAGUUUCUAUCAGUAUUUCUAUUACAACCCCCUAAUUCCAAUGACUUCAUAAUUCAAGUUUUAUACAAAACUUUCACAAAAUCCUAUAUUCUAUUUUACAUGUAAAUAAAAAGAAAGAACACAAAUUAAUCAGUGGCAUAAAACUAAGGCAAUGGAAAAGGGAGAUAUUGCACUGUAGUAUCAAGAUGCAAAGGUUAGCCUUCGAAGUGACAGCACUGCCAGCAUAACUCUCCUCCCAGAUGCUGUCAUCCUGUUUCCUGUUCUACUUGUAUCACUUAGACUUUAAGCAUUUUGGGGUAGGAAAUCUGUCUAUAUCUUUUCUGUAAUGUGAUUUGCACAUCUAUGGCAUGAGAUGAAUAGUUUUGGUUUGAGUAAUUUUGGAAUCAACUGACUUGCUUCAUUUUCUGGUAGCAGCUUCUCAAGGAAAACAGCCCCCUGGCUAAAUUCCCAAACAUCAUCAAGUCAAUGGAAGCUGAUUGCUUUUGAUCAUUUAUUUUUGAUCAUUCACACAAUUAUGUAAUGGGGUGGGAGCACAUUUUGUAAAUCCAAAUAUGUAUUUUUAUUAUUAGAGCUGGUCAAACUUCUCCAAAUUUUUGAUUUUUCAAUGAAAUUUUUCAUCAAAAUUUUGAGAGAUGAUUGGAAAAACAGGAUGAUUUUUGUAUAAAUAUGCUAUGAAGGAGUCAUCUUGUUUUUUAACCAGCUAUGGGACCGAUCAAAGUUUUCUGAAUUUUGAACUUUCAAUGAAAAAUUUUCUCAAAAUGUUGACAAUAAAAGGGAAAAUUUUUGCAAAUAUUAAUGUGAAAUAUGGUCUCAUUUUUUAUCAGCUCUAAUUAUAAUAUAA
Molecule: long non-coding RNA, 7353 nt
Organism: Chelonia mydas (Green sea turtle)
Lineage: Eukaryota; Metazoa; Chordata; Testudines; Cheloniidae
Exons: 3
Source: RefSeq, a predicted model, not a curated record